RNAcentral lists this unclassified non-coding RNA (332 nucleotides) under soil metagenome. Its description in RNAcentral is "partial contains 5.8S ribosomal RNA, internal transcribed spacer 2, and large subunit ribosomal RNA". The stretch from base 1 to 120 matches the Rfam family "5.8S ribosomal RNA", at positions 35 to 154 of the family's 154-position model. The record is from RNAcentral.
GAUGAAGAACGUAGCGAAAUGCGAUAAGUAAUGUGAAUUGCAGAAUUCAGUGAAUCAUCGAAUCUUUGAACGCACAUUGCGCCCGCCAGUAUUCUGGCGGGCAUGCCUGUUCGAGCGUCAUUUCAACCAUCAAGCCCCCGGCUUGUGUUGGGGACCUGCGGCUGCCGCAGGCCCUGAAAAGCAGUGGCGGGCUCGCUGUCACACCGAGCGUAGUAGCAUACAUCUCGCUCUGGGCGUGCUGCGGGUUCCGGCCGUUAAACCACCUUCAUAACCCAAGGUUGACCUCGGAUCAGGUAGGAAGACCCGCUGAACUUAAGCAUAUCAAUAAGGGA